UAGAGUUUGAUCCUGGCUCAGGUUGAACGCUGGCGGCAGGCUAACACAUGCAAGUCGAGCGGAUGAGGGGAGCUUGCUCCCUGAUUUAGCGGCGGACGGGUGAGUAAUGCCUAGGAAUCUGCCUGGUAGUGGGGGAUAACGUUCCGAAAGGAACGCUAAUACCGCAUACGUCCUACGGGAGAAAGCAGGGGACCUUCGGGCCUUGCGCUAUCAGAUGAGCCUAGGUCGGAUUAGCUAGUUGGUGAGGUAAUGGCUCACCAAGGCGACGAUCCGUAACUGGUCUGAGAGGAUGAUCAGUCACACUGGAACUGAGACACGGUCCAGACUCCUACGGGAGGCAGCAGUGGGGAAUAUUGGACAAUGGGCGAAAGCCUGAUCCAGCCAUGCCGCGUGUGUGAAGAAGGUCUUCGGAUUGUAAAGCACUUUAAGUUGGGAGGAAGGGCAUUAACCUAAUACGUUAGUGUUUUGACGUUACCAACAGAAUAAGCACCGGCUAACUUCGUGCCAGCAGCCGCGGUAAUACGAAGGGUGCAAGCGUUAAUCGGAAUUGCUGGGCGUAAAGCGCGCGUAGGUGGUUCGUUAAGUUGGAUGUGAAAGCCCCGGGCUCAACCUGGGAACUGCAUCCAAAACUGGCGAGCUAGAGUACGGUAGAGGGUGGUGGAAUUUCCUGUGUAGCGGUGAAAUGCGUAGAUAUAGGAAGGAACACCAGUGGCGAAGGCGACCACCUGGACUGAUACUGACACUGAGGUGCGAAAGCGUGGGGAGCAAACAGGAUUAGAUACCCUGGUAGUCCACGCCGUAAACGAUGUCAACUAGCCGUUGGAAUCCUUGAGAUUUUAGUGGCGCAGCUAACGCAUUAAGUUGACCGCCUGGGGGAGUACGGCCGCAAGGUUAAAACUCAAAUGAAUUGACGGG
Molecule: ribosomal RNA, 915 nt
Filed under: uncultured bacterium
Lineage: Bacteria
Description: bacterial SSU rRNA
Rfam family: Bacterial small subunit ribosomal RNA
Source: RNAcentral